CCCUUAGAUGUUCUGGGCCGCACGCGUGCUACACUGAGUGGAUCAGCGGGUCAGGUUGCGCGAAAGCGUUUCCUAAUCUUUAAAUCCGCUCGUGAUGGGGAUUGACGGUUGCAAUUUUCUGUCAUGAACGAGGAAUACCUUGUAAGCGCGGGUCAUCAUCCCGCGCUGAAUACGUCCCUGCCCUUUGUACACACCGCCCGUCGCUCCUACCGAUUGAGUGGUCCGGUGAAGCCUCGGGAUUGUGGUUCUUGCCGCUUUGUUGUGGCGUGACCGCGAGAACUUGUCUAAACCUUAUCAUCUAGAGGAAGGUGAAGUCGUAACA
RNAcentral lists this ribosomal RNA (322 nucleotides) under uncultured eukaryote. Its description in RNAcentral is "partial 18S ribosomal RNA". It matches the Rfam family "Eukaryotic small subunit ribosomal RNA", at positions 1470 to 1796 of the family's 1831-position model. The record is from RNAcentral.